Ribosomal RNA from Streptomyces sp. WM6386, 99 nucleotides. NCBI's taxonomy places the organism in Bacteria, Bacillati, Actinomycetota, Actinomycetes, Kitasatosporales, Streptomycetaceae. The record is from Rfam.
AGGGAAACGCCCGGUUACAUUCCGAACCCGGAAGCUAAGCCUUACAGCGCCGAUGGUACUGCAGGGGGGACCCUGUGGGAGAGUAGGACACCGCCGAAC